UACAGAGGGUGCAAACGUUGCUCGGAGUUACUGGGCGUAAAGCGCGUGUAGGCGGUGCCGCACGUCCGGUGUGAAAGCCCGGGGCUCAACCCCGGAAGUGCACUGGAUACGACGGCGCUGGAGUCCUGAAGAGGAGGGCGGAAUUCCCGGUGUAGAGGUGAAAUUCGUAGAUAUCGGGAGGAACACCAGUGGCGAAGGCGGCUCUCUGGACAGGUACUGACGCUGAGACGCGAAAGCGUGGGUAGCAAACAGG
This 253-nucleotide ribosomal RNA is filed under the name uncultured prokaryote. Its description in RNAcentral is "partial 16S ribosomal RNA". It matches the Rfam family "Bacterial small subunit ribosomal RNA", at positions 524 to 776 of the family's 1533-position model. The record is from RNAcentral.